This is a non-coding RNA of Oncorhynchus mykiss (rainbow trout), 437 nucleotides long. The record is from RefSeq and is a predicted model, not a curated record. NCBI's taxonomy places the organism in Eukaryota, Metazoa, Chordata, Actinopteri, Salmoniformes, Salmonidae.
CACAGGUGUUCGGAGCAUGCUAGAUAGCUAAUUAGUACAGGUGGUCGGUCACCUCUUGGCUUCCAUCUGUUUUCCGUAAACAAGCGCUGUAACGUGGAGAUAUGCCCGUGUGGGAACACGUUAUCAAGGUAUACAGACAAGGAGGCGUGCAAAGGUACGUCAAUUGGUAUGUUAUGCAGAUCACAUUUACCAUCCUCAAACCUUACAUCUUCAACGAAUAUCCCAUAGGCCUCUACAUUAUGGACAAGGAAACCUGUUCAAUCACCAUGCACUGCAAAAUCAUUCUGGCUAUGGAUACGGAGAACAUCAACACAUUAACAUCAACACACCAGAGGAUAAACCCAUUGUUCUUGGGGCUCUGCUGGGAGUUUACCUCAUAUUUUGAUUUUUAUAUUCUGCUUUGACACUAAAACCAUAAUAAACACUGAAAACUAAAA